AUUGAACGCUGGCGGUAGGCUUAAAACAUGCAAGUCGAGCGAGCGGCGGACGGGUGAGUAAUGUCUGGGAAACUGCCUGAUGGAGGGGGAUAAAUACUGGAAACGGUAGCUAAUACCGCAUACCAUCAGAUGUGCCCAGAUGGGAUUAGCUAGUAGGUGGGUCAAUGGCUGACCUAGGCGACGAUCCCUAGCUGGUCUGAGGGGAUGACCAGUCAACCGUGAACGGAAACACGGUCCAGCCUCCUACGGGAGGCAGCGGUGGGGAAUAUUGUCCAAUGGGCGCAAGCCUGAUGCAUCCAUGCCGCGUGUUGGAAGAAGGCCUUCGGGUUGUAAAGCACUUUCAGCUGGGAGGCGUUACUCACAGAAGAAGCACCGGCUAACUCCGUGCCAGCAGCCGCGGUAAUAC
Molecule: ribosomal RNA, 406 nt
Filed under: uncultured bacterium
Lineage: Bacteria
Description: partial 16S ribosomal RNA
Rfam family: Bacterial small subunit ribosomal RNA
Source: RNAcentral